AACGAACGCUGGCGGCAUGCCUAACACAUGCAAGUCGAACGAGACCUUCGGGUCUAGUGGCACACGGGUGCGUAACGCGUGGGAACCUGCCCUUAGGUUCGGAAUAACUCCCCGAAAGGGGUGCUAAUACCGGAUAAUGUCUUCGGACCAAAGAUUUAUCGCCUUUGGAUGGGCCCGCGUUGGAUUAGCUAGUUGGUAGGGUAAAAGCCUACCAAGGCGACGAUCCAUAGCUGGUCUGAGAGGAUGAUCAGCCACACUGGGACUGAGACACGGCCCAGACUCCUACGGGAGGCAGCAGUGGGGAAUAUUGGACAAUGGGCGAAAGCCUAAUCCAGCAAUGCCGCGUGAGUGAUGAAGGCCUUAGGGUUGUAAAGCUCUUUUACCCGGGAUGAUAAUGACAGUACCGGGAGAAUAAGCUCCGGCUAACUCCGUG
Molecule: ribosomal RNA, 433 nt
Filed under: uncultured bacterium
Lineage: Bacteria
Description: partial 16S ribosomal RNA
Rfam family: Bacterial small subunit ribosomal RNA
Source: RNAcentral